GGUUUAAUUCGAUGAUACGCGAGGAACCUUACCCGGGCUUGAAUUGCAGAGGAAGGAUUUGGAGACAAUGACGCCCUUCGGGGUCUCUGUGAAGGUGCUGCAUGGUUGUCGUCAGCUCGUGCCGUGAGGUGUCGGCUUAAGUGCCAUAACGAGCGCAACCCCUCUCCUUAGUUGCCAUCAGGUUAAGCUGGGCACUCUGGGGACACUGCCACCGUAAGGUGUGA
Molecule: ribosomal RNA, 224 nt
Filed under: uncultured bacterium
Lineage: Bacteria
Description: partial 16S ribosomal RNA
Rfam family: Bacterial small subunit ribosomal RNA
Source: RNAcentral